RNAcentral lists this long non-coding RNA (3633 nucleotides) under Mus musculus (house mouse). RNAcentral's name for it is "long non-coding RNA chr1:177456112-177459745". Lineage: Eukaryota; Metazoa; Chordata; Mammalia; Rodentia; Muridae. The record is from RNAcentral.
AAAGAAGGAAGGAAGAAAGAAACCAAAACAAAAAAUAAAACUGUAUCUCAGAUCUGAAUAGUUGGAUUCUGGGCUGAUAGUCUUUAAAAUAAUAAAUUAAUUCUUUUGUUCACAUUAUGAAAAAUCUGAGGUCUAGCUAGAAUGGCUCAGAAAUUCUCUGCGUUGUCAAGACCUGCGGCGUCUGUCUGAUAGCCUCUUCCCACAGGUUGCUGCUGUGAGUGUUCUCCAAGGUAGGUGUAACCUAGAAUCAUAUGCACUGGAAGCUCCCUGGCACAGAGGUGACUUCCAAGUCUUUCACUCUGGGUCAGUGAGAAACAGCUGAGAGCAAGGUGUUGGGGAGAAGAGGGUUCAAGCUCUUUGCAAACAUCUCACACCUCCCCAAGACCUUGGGUAGGUAGCAUUUGAAAGAUGGAUGGCCCUAGCUUCUCCUUUUAGAUUCCAAAUUUGACAAUGGUCAAAUCCCUCGCUUUAGGGUCAUCUUUGAUCAAGACCAAGUCUGCAAUCUCCAUCCUGGUUAUACCUCUGAAGUCAAAUUCUCACUGUAAUAUUUGUCACGGGUUACCAUACCCAUUGUCUGCUACAAACAGUUACUGUUGGAAUCUAAAUUGGAGUGCUGCUGCCGCCGCCGCUAUUGUGGGUUUUCCUUCCAGUCUGACCCAGUCCUCAGCUCUGUACAGCAGGGCACUCUCUGUUGCCCUCUGAGCCCUGCUGGCCUCAUCUCCUUCACCUCAAGAACUGCAGCAUCCUCCCCACUCACUCUCUCUUCUCACACUCCCAGCUAGGAAGGGACUGCUUGGGUUUCCAUAAAGCGUGUUAUUUGUUCAGCCACAACGAGGCAGUGCUCAGUCCAGGCAGGGACAGGCAGGGAGCAGACAGUUGUCAGUGCUGCUGGACCGGGGAGGCAGAGAAGUGUGGCGGGGUGCUGAGGUGUCAGCCUCCAGGAACCUCAAAACUCCUCUGCUGCCCAAGUGGGAGGGAGUCUCUGGGUUUCCCCUUACUGGCCCCAUUUUCUUAGAAUAUUUCUCACCUCCUCUCACUGUCAGCUACUGGAAAGAACCCUCAAAGGAAACUCAGGGAGACAUGUCCAUGCCACAAAUGUGGGCUCCCACUCUGCCACAUUCGUUUCUUCAUUUCUAAGAGCAGGAAGACUAUACCCUGUAACUUCUUCCUUGACACAGUGCAGCCGUGAACGUAUGUACAGACUACUAAGCUCUCAGAGGAAAGAUGCUAUGAAUAUUUUAGGGGACAGUACUACUAUAAAACAAAAAAAAAUCUGUUUUACACCAAGGUGAAAGGUUUUCCUAUCACAAAGCCUCUCCAGCAAUGUGGAUUUUUUUUUUUUUUACAAUUUUUAUUUUAUUUUUAUUCAAUGUGGAUUUUUCUUUUAAAAACAUUAAACUCAGCAAAUACUAAUAGUUUCAACUUUAUUUUGUUUUCAGCAUGCCCUCAUAGAAAGCAAUUUCUCCAUGCUGUGUGAAAAUUAAAGGGUCGUAAUUGUGAAAAGCUUACACACUCUCAGGUGGGCUCAUGGUGCAAAAACACAUGUGCAAGUUUCCUCACUGGGGUCACACUGCUGUCCCCUUCUGACAGCUUUCUCUGUGCCUGUUCUGAUUGAUCUAGGGUACCACACCCAUAUCACUUCUUUUUUGGGGGGUAAAUAAAAGGAAGACCUCAUUGACAUCAAAGAAAAGCUGCUAUGUCAAGUGCCCCAACCCCUCCACUAAUGCUGAAGAAAUAAAAAAUUAAAAAAAAAAAACCCAAACAAACCUGUGACUGAUGUUCUCUGGAGUAUCGUUAAGUAUAAACACUACUAUGGCAAAUGUCAUACAGAAUGUCAACAGACAAGUGCCCAGGUCCCAUGUAGCCAGGAGAAGGUGGCUCAUGCCAGGUCAGAGCUUAGAUAAUCUUGGUGUCAGGCCUUGUGUCACCGAUGCGCCCUGUGUGUUGUCAUAGCCAUAUCAUGGUGCCAUGCAAAUGGGUGUAAGUCCAUUCACUGGAGGACAGUGCGUCUGCCCGAAAACCAGCAGAAUACGGCCAUGCAUUCUGCUUAGUCAGACACUUUUAAAUACUAAUAUAUGAUCCAACAUUACGUGUGUGUGUGUGUGUGUGUGUGUGUGUGUGUGUGUGUGUGUCAGGGCCAAGCACUGGAUGGCUUCAGAGUCCCUAAUCAGCCUGUCCACCUCCCUCUUUGAUACCAUGCCACUUCACAAAAGCAGUUGGGCCACAGUCAUCUCUCUUCUCUUUUCUUUUCCUUCUUGUUAUUAUGAUCCAAUCUUCCUUUUUGAUCUCACCGUUUUCAUCAGUUUUUGUAAAAGGCAAUGAGCAUAACAAUACAUGUUUGGUAAAAACAGUUCUUUGUUGCUAUAUUGAAUCAUUUGGUUUUUUUUAAAAACAACAACAAAAAAAAACAAAACAACAACAAAAACAACCAAAACCAAACAAGCACCCCUCCCCCGGGGGAAAAAAAAAAAGACACAACCUUCCCUCUGCUUGAUGCCAUAGACAAGAGUCCAAAGGACAUUAGCUGCUCGGUUGCACACAUUGGAGGGAGAGAUUGCUGCGGGCUCUGUCUCCCUAAUAGACUGGCGAUUUUGUAAAAGAUUUUAGAGGGUUUUGUUUAACCAUUUCUGCAUGUGUUUUUAAUGAGCUCAUGAUUAGUAGCAAAGGCCAGGUUGUGGGGUUUGCAGCCUUUUUUUCGGACCCGAUCCCUUCCCGCUGACCUGCCGAGUGGGCACCUGUGCUCUCUGCCUGGCUCACCUAUGGGAGUCAAGGUGGUGGGGCCAUCUCCGGGCCUGUCUUCUUGCCAGGGAUGAAUCAUGCAGUAGGCAGAGCGGAAGGAGUCUCUUUGUUGACAGCUUUCCAUCUGGACUUUGGAUACGGCUGGCCGUUCAUGGAGAGCCUGGGUUAGCUGGAAAGGACUGCUCUGCUCUAGUCAGCUCCUCCAUGAAGGCCCCAGGCCGAGUAAGACACCAGCGAAGGAGCUGCCCAGCAUUUCAGCUACAAAGCAGAGAAGUAGCCCUCCCAGGUCCAGGUCCCCAGGUUUGUGAAUGUGCACAACUCCCGCUUCGACAAGUGGGUAUUUAAUAGUCAAUAGGAUCAUUUACAGCCUCAUUCAAAUAAUCCGACUGGAGUACACCUGAAUAAAUACACCAAGCUCAGGUGGUUGAGCGCUAACCCCUUGGAGUUUAAUAAUUAAAAUAAACAGACCUAUUGAGAUGAAUUCCAGUCUUUUCAUGUAUAAAUGUAAGAUGCUCCACACAGGUUGGUGUUUAUGGUUCACACCGGAAUAUGAUGGAUAGAUUAUACGUGUUCCAUAGCUACUUAAGAAAAGAAGAGAUUAUCUUAGCCAUGGGGUAAAGUUAUGUGAUACCAUCCAGUCUGAUUCUGGGCCAGUACAGAGUCCCCCCCCCCCCCCAUCUUUCUGUCUUUCUUCUCUUUUCUUUUUUUCUUUUCUUUUCUUUUCUUUUCUUUUCUUUCUUUCUUUCCUUUUUUUUUUUUUUGUGAAAGAUUACUUCUUGGCAAACUAGAUAUGCAAACGCCAGAAUACAGUAAAACCACAUUUAAUUGGACCUACUUGCCAACUCCUUGAACACAGCUUGGAUUAUCCCACUGGAGGCUGCUUCUGUUAAAAGC